RNAcentral lists this ribosomal RNA (253 nucleotides) under uncultured bacterium. Its description in RNAcentral is "partial 16S ribosomal RNA". It matches the Rfam family "Bacterial small subunit ribosomal RNA", at positions 524 to 776 of the family's 1533-position model. The record is from RNAcentral.
UACGAAGGGUGCAAACGUUGCUCGGAAUUAUUGGGCGUAAAGCGCACGUAGGCGGCUUGGCAAGUCGGAUGUGAAAUCCCUCGGCUCAACCAAGGAAGUGCAUCCGAAACUGCUAAGCUUGAGUACGAAAGAGGAUCGCGGAAUUCCCGGUGUAGAGGUGAAAUGCGUAGAUAUCGUAAGGAAGACCAGUGGCGAAGGCGGGUCUCUGGACAGUUCCUGACGCUGAGGCACGAAGGUCAGGGGAGCAAACGGG